This 465-nucleotide ribosomal RNA is filed under the name uncultured bacterium. Its description in RNAcentral is "partial 16S ribosomal RNA". It matches the Rfam family "Bacterial small subunit ribosomal RNA", at positions 28 to 507 of the family's 1533-position model. The record is from RNAcentral.
GAUGAACGCUGGCGGCGUGCUUAACACAUGCCAGUCGAACGGAAAGGCUCCUGCUUGCAGGGUUACUCGAGUGGCGAACGGGUGAGUAACACGUGGGUUAUCUGCCCUGCACUUCGGGAUAAGCCUGGGAAACUGGGUCUAAUACCGGAUAGGACCACAUCUUGGAUGGUGUGGUGGAAAGUUUUUCGGUGUGGGAUGAGCUCGCGGCCUAUCAGCUUGUUGGUGGGGUAAUGGCCUACCAAGGCGUCGACGGGUAGCCGGCCUGAGAGGGUGUACGGCCACAUUAGGACUGAGAUACGGCCCAGACUCUUACGGGAGGCAGCAGUGGGGAGUAUUGCACAAUGGGCGCGAGACUGAUGCAGAGACGCCGCGUGGGGGAUGACGGCCUUCGGGUUGUAAACACCUUUCGCUAGGGACGAAGAGAAAGUGACGGUACCUGGAGAAGAAGCGCCGGCUAACUACGUG